Long non-coding RNA from Salvia splendens (bonfire salvia), 1260 nucleotides. RefSeq lists it as uncharacterized. The record is from RefSeq and is a predicted model, not a curated record. Lineage: Eukaryota; Viridiplantae; Streptophyta; Magnoliopsida; Lamiales; Lamiaceae. The transcript has 3 exons.
UCCCUUCUCCAUCUACGCGAUUCAUCUCUCUCCCACCAUCAUCUGCGAUUCAUCUCUCUCCAUCUCUACGAUUCUUCUCUCUCUCACCAUCAUCUUCGAUUCAACUCUAACCCAGUACCAUCUCUGCGAUUCCUCUCUCUCCCACCACCAUUUUCUGUUCAUCUUAUACUAGCUGUACACCUUCAUCAAUUGCUCACCUCUUUAAAUCCCUCGGUAUGAGAACCUUCAUCAGCAGUUAUUUUCCCCAAAAUUUAUUAACCCAUCAAUUUACAUCUUUAAAUUCAUUUACAAAUAUUUAGAUAGGUUGGAGCCAACAUAAUUUUGAGUGCUUACCGUAGAAAAAUAUGCAGUUGAUUUCUGAACUUGGAAUUUUUGCUUUCUUUGCAUAAUAUAUUCAAAAUUAUAUGAAUGGUUGUGAAUUUGUGAAGCUUGUCUUUGCCAAUUGCCUAUCAUCAUUUUAUCUUUCUAUUUUCUUAUUUUAAACAACAGAGUUUUUGGUAAUUAAUUGGGUUAAUUAGGGUAAUUAGUAUUAGUGACGGAUUAAUGACGGAUUUGUGACUUAGUAAUUAAAACCGUCAAAAAUUUGACGGAACCGUCUAAAAUGGACCAAAUGUGAUCCGAUUUCAAAUGUGAGGAACCGAAUAAUUCAAAAGAUAAUGUUUUAGACAAAAAUUAAAAAAUUGCAAUAUGUUAAAGAACAUUUUGAGACUUUAGUCUUAAAAGUAUAACAAGCAAUUAACUAUCACACGCGACCGGACACAAAUUUUAAAAUGUUAUUCAAUCCUCAUCACAUCUCAGUUAUUAAGAGAACAAAAAGCCUAGGUUUUUAAGUCAUCUCCAAAACUCCAACAAUAUAGAGUAUGUAUAUACACAAAUUUGGAUCAUGAGCGCCAAGGAAAUUGAGCAUUAGCAACCAAAAAUGCCGAAUUGGAUUUCUUAAAGCAGUUGCGAAGCUUACAGGUGUGGAUGUGCUCAAAGUUGAUGCUGAGAAAGGAAAGAUAACUGUUGCCACCGCGAUAAGAAAAGCUGGUUAUUCGGACGAGCGUUGGACCACCAAAGAAACCCGAUCCCAAACCUGACAUUGAUGAAUCGAAGAAGCCGCCGCCGCCAGUGCCGGACCCGCCUCGUGCCCAAUGCCAGCUUGUCGCAGUGAUUUACGAUACUACCUACGAAUACGAUAGUGCAUUUUGUUCUAUUCUCUAAAGAUAAGCCAAACACAUACGUAUUGUUUAAUGAUAAUUUUCAAUAUAUUUGGUAAAA